UACGGAGGGGGCAAGCGUUGUUCGGAAUUACUGGGCGUAAAGGGCGCGCAGGCGGCUGCUCAAGUCAGGCGUGAAAGGCCUGGGCUCAACCCGGGAAUUGCGCUUGAGACUGGGCUGGCUUGAGUGCGGGAGAGGAUGGUGGAAUUCCCAGUGUAGAGGUGAAAUUCGUAGAUAUUGGGAAGAACACCAGUGGCGAAGGCGGCUCACUGGCCCGGUACUGACGCUGAGGCGCGAAAGCGUGGGGAGCAAACAGG
RNAcentral lists this ribosomal RNA (254 nucleotides) under uncultured bacterium. RNAcentral describes it as "partial 16S ribosomal RNA". It matches the Rfam family "Bacterial small subunit ribosomal RNA", at positions 524 to 776 of the family's 1533-position model. The record is from RNAcentral.